Molecule: long non-coding RNA, 1907 nt
Organism: Alexandromys fortis (reed vole)
Lineage: Eukaryota; Metazoa; Chordata; Mammalia; Rodentia; Cricetidae
Exons: 2
Source: RefSeq, a predicted model, not a curated record
GAAGAAGAAGAAGAAGAAGAAGAAGAAGAAGAAGAAGAAGAAGAAGAAGAAGAAGAAGAAGAAGAAGAAGAAGAAGAAGAAGAAAAAGAAGAAGAAAAGAAAAAUAUAUAACCUGUUCUGCAUUUCCAUUCAUUCCUACUUAAUUUUCUUAUUCUCAUAUUUUCCCUGUUUUUCUUUGCUUAUCAACACUAUCCUCACUUCUUAGGUUAAGUACCCCUUUGACCAAUGUUUUUAGUUUGGUUUUCUUUCUUGCUUAGUGAUAUAGACACUGCACACAGUGAAUUUUUCUAAGUACUGUUGUGAUUAAGAUUUUACAAAUGCAGUGUUUAGUUUUCUUUCUAGGCAUUUCCCUAACUCCUAUUUUAAUUAAUUUUUGAUUAAUAAAUGUUUAUUGAUGGCUAGGGAGAUGGCUCACAGGCUGGGAGCACUUAUUGCUCUUCCAGAUCACACCCACAUCAGAUAGCUCACGACUACCUGUAACUCCCAUUCUUGUAGAUCCAGUGCCCUCUUCCAGCUUCCUCAGGCAUAUCUACACAAAUGGCAUAAACUUACACAGACAUAUACACACAUACACAUAAUAAAAAUAAAUAAAGUAGUAAAUAUUUAAUAGCUAUUUGCAAGCCAUUUUAUUUUAAUUUCCAAUAUGAAAGUUUUAUCUUCCUGAGUUCAUAGUCAUGCUGAGUUCAGAUAACAACAUGGAUUAGUCUUCUUAAUGUGAGAUCGGGACAAUUUGAAGUAUGUCCUAAAGUCUUGAGCUGGAUAUAGUGGACGUAUUGUCAUGUGUUAUCGGUUUUUACCUCUGAGACUGGAGAAGCCACACUGAGCGAUUUAAUUCCUUUACUACUCUGGUUUUAACUAGCAGCAGUUGUUUCCCAGCCUCCUCCAGAAGACAUUUGGCAGUGUCUGUGACUGCUUGUCACAACUGGGGCUGGGGCCACAUAUAAAUGGAAUGAGGAGGCAGAGGCAAAAGUAUUGCUAAAUACCUUCCAGUUAUCAGUUCUUACAACAAUUACCCAGCCCCAAAUGCCAGUCAGGCAGAGGCUGUAACGCUUUGCUAACACAAGCUCUUAAUGGAUGUUAAAAUGCACUCAUUGCCGUGCCGUGGUUUCAGCUAAUUGUGUGUAAGUGAACGUCGGUCCACUGAGGCUCAUUGCCACCGUGCUUAAUGUAAACAUCCCACCCUUCUGGAAGAGAAUAAUAUCAGUGUAUAGCACAAAGGAACACACAAAGUGAAAGGAAGACAAUUCCUUUUCUGCAAAAAAGGUGUGCUAUGACCUAAAUCUGGCUAUUGAGUAGCACACUCAACCUAUAUAGUCUUUUUUUUUUAAUCACUGAUGUAGGAGGUGACUUCAUCUCAUCCCUUUGAUGGGAGCACAAUUUCACAUCUGAGGGGAUUGGUUAAUCAGGUCACAGGGGAUAGAGGAAGUUCAAGAAAAAUGAGCACUUGUCAGACUAAACAACUUUGACAAAAGAAACAAGCAAACAAACAAAAGAAAACUAACAUCCCUUAUUGUUCAUCCAUGCCUCUUCGUGCCUUCUAUCUUUUCUCAGGUUAUUAAACUAAUGGUGGGUGUGGUGGUUUGAAUAGCUACAGUUCCCAUAGACUCCUGUGUUUGAGUGCUGGCCCUUAGGGAGUGGGGCUUCUCUGAGGCACAGCUUUGUUGGAGUGGGUGUGGUCUUGUCGGAGGGAGUGUGUCACUGUGCAGGUGGGUUUUGAGGUCUCAUAUACGCUGAAGCCAUGCAUGCCCAGUGUGAUAGACAGUUGCUUCUGCUGCCUGCAGAUCAAGAUGUAGAACUCUCAGCUCCUUCUCCAGCACCAUGUCCACCUGCAUGCCACCAUGAAGACAGUGAACUAAACUUCUGAAACUGUAAGCCAGCCCUGCCCAAUUAAAUGUUUUCCUUUGUAA